UACGUAGGUGGCAAGCGUUGUCCGGAAUUAUUGGGCGUAAAGCGCGCGCAGGCGGUCCUUUUAAGUCUGAUGUGAAAAGCCCCACGGCUCAACCGUGGAGGGGUCAUUGGAAAACUGGGGGGGACUUGAGUGCAGGAGAGAAGAGUGGAAUUCCACGUGUAGCGGUGAAAUGCGUAGAGAUCCGGAAGAACACCGGUGGCGAAGGCGGCCUGCUGGGCAGUUUUUGCUGACACUGAGGCGCGAAAGCGUGGGGAGCGACAGGG
Molecule: ribosomal RNA, 263 nt
Filed under: uncultured bacterium
Lineage: Bacteria
Description: partial 16S ribosomal RNA
Rfam family: Bacterial small subunit ribosomal RNA
Source: RNAcentral